Molecule: ribosomal RNA, 440 nt
Filed under: uncultured bacterium
Lineage: Bacteria
Description: partial 16S ribosomal RNA
Rfam family: Bacterial small subunit ribosomal RNA
Source: RNAcentral
CCUACGCGUGGUAGCAGUGGGGAAUAUUGCACAAUGGGGGAAACCCUGAUGCAGCGACGCCGCGUGAGUGAAGAAAUAAUUCGUUAUGUAAAGCUCUAUCCGCAGGGAAUAAAAUAACGUUACCUGCUUAAGAAGCCCCGGCUAACUACGUGCCAGCAGCCGCGGUAAUACGUAGGGGGGAAGCUUUAUCCGGAUUUACGGGGUGUAAAGGGAGCGUAGACGGCAGUGCAAGUCUGGAGUGAAAGGCGGGGGCCCAACCCCCGGACUGCCCUGGAAACUGUACGGCUGGAGUGCAGGAGAGGUAAGUGGAAUUCGUAGUGUAGCGGUGAAAUGCGUAGAUAUUAGGAGGAACACCAGUGGCGAAGGCGGCUUACUGGACUGUAACUGACGUUGAGGCUCGAAAGCGUGGGGAGCAAACAGGAUUAGAUACCCUGGUAGUC